CAAGUUCUACUGCCCCAACUUCAGGGAGAGUGAGAUGAGUGCCAUCGCAGCCGACAUGUGCACCAAUGCUUGCCGAGUGGUACGUUAAAGCUGACUGCCCGAGACCAAGCCACUGCACCGGGUAGAGGGUGAUAACUACAGCAGCUUCAUCAGUGACACUGGCAAGAUAGAACCGGACAUGAUGAGCAUGGGGCACAGCUUCAAGACAGCCAGCCAUGAUGGCGAGGCCGGCCCCUCAGCUGAGGUUCUCCAGUAACGUUCACGUGACACCCCCUUACCCGAUGUCACAUUCCCCCCCUAUUGCACCCCCACCUACCACCUACUUGGUCAUGAUCUACUGUCUGUCCCUCCCCAGGACCUGUGAGGGAGUGUUCCAUGCCCUCUAUCGGAUACAAGAGCUGGCUGACCAAGCCAAACCACUGUACCUAGCAGAGGGCAGUGCCGACAGCAGGACCAUGAGGAAGAGCCGAGCCUGGUAGGCAUAGAAUACAGCUUCCACACAGACAGCCCCUCAAUGGAGGUCCUCCAGUACCUGCCCAGGACCCUCACAUGGAUGUCACACUCCCUUCUGUCACACACAUACCCCCACCACCUUAGUCACAAGCUACUGUUUGUCCCUCCCCAGAAGCUGCAGGGGUGCUGCAACUCCCAGCUCCUUUGCCUCCCUGUCACCCCACACCUUUUCCC
Molecule: long non-coding RNA, 687 nt
Filed under: Rattus norvegicus (Norway rat)
Lineage: Eukaryota; Metazoa; Chordata; Mammalia; Rodentia; Muridae
Description: long non-coding RNA NONRATT025909
Source: RNAcentral